AACAAGGCGUACCUGCGGACCUGCGGAAGGAUCAUUAAUGAAUAAACUUGGUCGAGCUGUUGCUGAUCCCUCGGGAUAUGUGCACGCUUGCCACCAAUUUUAACCACCUGUGCACUUUCUGUAGACUGGAAAACGAUGCUCGAGGCAACUCGGAUUGGGAACUGCUGCGCGAAAGCCGGCUGCUCCUGUGUUUUCUCAGUCUAUGUUUUUAUAUACUCCGAAUGUAUGUAUAAGAAUGUA
RNAcentral lists this unclassified non-coding RNA (240 nucleotides) under soil metagenome. RNAcentral's name for it is "partial contains 5.8S ribosomal RNA, internal transcribed spacer 2, and large subunit ribosomal RNA". The record is from RNAcentral.